GGAGAGGUGCCGGAGUCCGGUCGAACGGGCCUCCCUGCUAAGGAGGUGACGGCGAAAGCUGUCCGUGGGUUCAAAUCCCACCCUCUCCG
This 89-nucleotide transfer RNA is filed under the name Actinomycetota bacterium. Its description in RNAcentral is "Actinobacteria bacterium tRNA-Ser". It matches the Rfam family "tRNA". Rfam says of the family: Transfer RNA (tRNA) molecules are approximately 80 nucleotides in length. The record is from RNAcentral. Lineage: Bacteria; Bacillati; Actinomycetota.